CACAGUUUUACCACCAUCUGCAUACCACGCAAUUUCAUCGCCCUUAUGAUAUUCUCGUUCACUCAUUGGCCGAAACCUAACCGUCACAGAAAUACUAUCUCCGGAUCUAGACUCAUCAGCUGGCUCAUCAAUCAACUCCUCUUCGGAUGGAUAACUCACCGGCGUACGAUUUUCAUAACCUUGUGAGUACACCGAAUCGGAACGACUAUGACUCGGAGUCAUGGAUCUGGAAUUGUAGCUAUUCCCAG
This 248-nucleotide unclassified non-coding RNA is filed under the name Hevea brasiliensis (rubber tree). The record is from RNAcentral. Lineage: Eukaryota; Viridiplantae; Streptophyta; Magnoliopsida; Malpighiales; Euphorbiaceae.